CCCGCCUGCCCUGUGACUAUAUGUUUAACGGCCGCGGUAUUUUGACCGUGCGAAGGUAGCGUAAUCACUUGUCUCUUAAAUGGAGACCUGUAUGAAAGGCACCACGAGGGCUUGACUGUCUCCCCUUUGAAGUCAGUGAAAUUGAUCUCCCCGUGCAGAAGCGGGGAUUUGCUCGUAAGACGAGAAGACCCUAUGGAGCUUAAGAUAUAAAGCGGCCCAAGUCAAAAACCCCUCCAAAGGAAGCAAACAAUAUGGACCUCCGCUGAAAUAUCUUCGGUUGGGGCGACCGCGGGGAAAGACCAAACCCCCACAUGGACCGGGGCCACAAUAGCCUCAAAACCUAGACCCACAGGUCAAAAAGACAGUAUUUCUGACCACCAAAGAGCCGGCAAUGCCGAUCGACGGACCGAGUUACCCUAGGGAUAACAGCGCAAUCCCCUCCCAGAGCCCUUAUCGACGAGGGGGUUUACGACCUCGAUGUUGGAUCAGGACAUCCUAAUGGUGCAGCCGCUAUUAAGGGUUCGUUUGUUCAACGAU
RNAcentral lists this ribosomal RNA (537 nucleotides) under Bolinichthys longipes (popeye lanternfish). RNAcentral describes it as "partial 16S ribosomal RNA". It matches the Rfam family "Bacterial large subunit ribosomal RNA", at positions 1854 to 2588 of the family's 2925-position model. The record is from RNAcentral. Lineage: Eukaryota; Metazoa; Chordata; Actinopteri; Myctophiformes; Myctophidae.